CCAUAGCCCUAAUAGAAGUGAAAAUCUUUUUGUGCCGGUGAUCGGCACAAAAAAUUGUAACGGAUAGCAGGAAAUAGC
This is a non-coding RNA of Flavobacterium sp. ov086, 78 nucleotides long. Lineage: Bacteria; Pseudomonadati; Bacteroidota; Flavobacteriia; Flavobacteriales; Flavobacteriaceae. The record is from Rfam.